This is a long non-coding RNA of Leopardus geoffroyi (Geoffroy's cat), 428 nucleotides long. RefSeq lists it as uncharacterized. The transcript is spliced from 3 exons. Lineage: Eukaryota; Metazoa; Chordata; Mammalia; Carnivora; Felidae. The record is from RefSeq and is a predicted model, not a curated record.
CUCGCUCUUAACGUUCUGUGAUGAGCUGCGCACGCGCUGUGCGAGCGGCGGCGUCGCGCUGGGAGUCCUGCCGCCAACGGUUGUUAUGUGUUCAAUCUUCACAAGUCAUUUCCAAUUUACCUGGUGAGGAAAAAACCAAUGGAGAGGUUAUGUCCACAUGUUUUUUUAAGAGAACGCAAGUGGGGGAGGGGCAGAGAGAGCGGGAGCCUGAUGAUCCCAGGUGCGCCCUGUGCUGUCAGAAUUGAGCCGGAUGUGGGGCUUGAUCUCAUUUACUGUGAGAUCAGGACCUGAGUUGAAAUCAGAAGUUGGACACUUAAACUGACUGAGCCACCCAGGUGCCCCUCAAUCUUGUCCACUGUAAAAUCGUUCCUCUUCUCUUUGUAAUUAAGUGUUUUGUGGGGAAAAACUUAAUCACAUUCCUCAUCAGA